Molecule: RNA transcript, 8510 nt
Organism: Zootoca vivipara (common lizard)
Lineage: Eukaryota; Metazoa; Chordata; Lepidosauria; Squamata; Lacertidae
Gene name: major facilitator superfamily domain-containing protein 8
Source: RefSeq, a predicted model, not a curated record
CGAUCAUUCAAUAAACUUUCUCCCGGCUGCAGCUGCCUUGGUCGGGCAGAACAGCCGCAGCAACGCGCAGGUUGCGGGCUGCGAGAGGGAGAGCGCCAAAGGGGCGACUGGAUGGGCGUGUGCGUAAAAAGGGCUGGAGAGGAGCGCUGCUGCUGCCACUGCUGCUGCUGAGGCAGGGAGAAUGGUGAGGGAUAGGAGGAGGAAGAUGGCACCGCCGCCACCUCCAGCUGCCCUUUGAGCUCUCCGGAGGGAGCGAGGAGACGACGACCUCGGCCCCACGCUCCUUCGAGGGGCCGCCUCUGUCCCCGGGGAGAACCCAACGCCAGGUGUCUAUGGAUGUGCAGCGGAAGAAGAAAUGGACCAACCUCACCAUUGGCCUCCUUUUCCUGUCGGGAGGGAUUGAGUACGCUGUGAUCCUGCCAACCCUCUGGGCUUACCUGCAAACUCUCAAUGCUGAGCCAUACUUCCUGGGCCUGGGCAUCUCUGCCUUUAGCUUUGCCGGGCUGAUCACAGGCCCGCUCUUUGGAUAUUGGUCUGACCGUACCCAUAAAACCAAGGCCAUCAUCCUCUUUGCCAACUUGUUUCAGAUAGCAGGGAACUUCAUGUACUUUGUCGGUGGUUCCAAAUGGAUGCUUCUGAGUGGUCGGCUGGUGGCAGGUGUGGGGACGGGGGCAGGAGCUUCCAUCUUUGGCUACCUCACCCGAACAACCACGUUCCAGGAGCGUGCCACGGUGUUUGCGGCUGUCAUGGCGUGCCGGCAGGUCGGGCUACUCAUUGGGCCAGCUUGUAACCUGUUCCUGCGCCUCUGUAACUUCCAGGUGGGGCCCUUCGUGGUUGACAAGUUCACAUCGCCUGGGCUCUUCAUGUGCAUGGUGUGGCUGCUUCUGCAGAUCAUUGUUGCGACGCUGUACUACGACCUGCUGCCACCGCCGUUGGGAGACUCCUCGAAGUCCCCGGCGGCAGCUGUGCGGGAUGCUGUGGAAGAGGAGGAGGAGGAGGAGAAGCCUCUUGUGCAACACGAGGAGGCAGCGGAGAGCAGCAGCUAUGGCAGCACUUCCGCGGAGCGCCGGGAAGCUGUGUCAGGCGACGAGGGUCGCUAUGUGCCCAAUGGACACUUGGCUGAUGAAGAAGCCUCUCUGGAGAAGACUCCCUCCUAUGAUUUCAGCUCCAUGACAGAGUACCUGAGGGAAGAGGUGGUGGUUCUGCUGACUGCCCAGUUCAUUACACUCUUCAACCAAACCGCCCUAGAGACGAUGGUGACCCCAAUCACCCAGAAGUUCUUGAAUUUUGGGGAGCUGGAGAACAGCAUCAUGUAUUUCCUCUGCGGUGUGGAGGUCAUUGCUGGCUUCUUCCUGGUGCGCUGCCUGAGCACUCGCCUGUCUGACCGUGUCCUCUUGGUCCUUGGCCUGGUCAUCUGCAACAUAGCCUGUGCUUGGUGCCUGUUCUUCCUAGUACGGCCCCGAGGUACCUUUGCCAUCCUCCUUACAGAGAUGGUGGUGGGUGUUUUCCUACAAGUCCUGGGCCUUCCCUUUGUUGCAGUCUCCCAAGUGUCGCUCUUUUCUAAAGUCACGGCCGAGAGAACGCAAGGGUUCAGUCAGGGUCUCCGUCGCUCUGUAGGGGGCGUGGCCACCAUCCUUGGGCCUCUGUGGGCUGGAGGCUUGACCGACCACUUGGACAUCAUGCUGGGGGUGAUGAUGGGUCUGCUGAGUCUCCUCACGAUCAUGGUGGGGCUCUCAUAUACAUACCUGGUGGAGCCGCCCAGAAGAUACGUGUCAUCGCAAACAUCUGAAGAUGAAUGCCGCUCAUGACAGCCCCGUCGGAUGGAGGUGCUUCUGAAGGAACAGAGAAGGUCCUGCUCACCCAGGUGUCUCUUUGACUGGUGCUGGGCACCCCCUGGCUGGAUCCCGGUUCCAUGUUGCUGCUCUCCUGCUGGGAUGGGGAUCGGGAAAGAACUUGUCUCAACCCAUUGAGCAAAUCGCAGCUCAGCCACCAACUCGUGCUAUUUCAGGUUGCUCCUCCUGGCCAGCUCUCCUGUCGCCCACCACCUGGCCGAGGACUUGGCUCCAUGCUGCCACCUAAGAGCAAAGAGUGCCAUCUCCUUCCAUGGCAUUCCUCAUUUUCUAGCCUGAACCGGGGCCUGGCAAGCCAUGGAACUGGAUUCGUGUUUGGACCUGGACUGCUGUCUGUAUGUGGCCACUUCCAGUUUCUUCUUCACCUGGGGUCCGUGGGCACUAUAUUAAAGCUUGCUUCAUUCCAAGGAUGGGGAACCUGCUGCCCUCCAGCUGUUGCUGGACUCCAAUGCCCAUCAGCCCCAGCCAGCAAGGCCAGUGGGUGGUCAUGGAUGAUGGGAGUUAUAGCACAGCUCUAUCUAGAGGGUCACAGGUUCCUCCUCCCUGCUGGAAGACAUUGGUUUCUGCAUCUCUUGGCGCUGCACCUCUCCCUUCUUCUCUGCCCCUUCCUGUAGUUGUUGCCACCCAAUGGCACCUGGCAUUGUUUCCUUGCAAUAUUGCACAUGCUGGCACAGUGGGCAACGGCGUCAGCUUGCCCUGCUUGCAAGGUGUGACCCUGGGCCUGUUUGGCGAGAGGCGGCGGAGCGUAAUUGAGAAUCACUCUGCAUCCUGGAAGUUUGGGCUGCACUCAAACUGCGACCCUGAGCACAGACUUGCACGAAUCUGUCGGUGGUGCUGUUUAGGGGCUGAGCUGCGUCGUGGAGGGUGGAUUAACACCAGGCAGCUGUCUGAGCAGCAGGUGUGGAUGUCAUUUCCAUCGGAUAAGGAUUUGGUGUCAGGGGAGUGCUGAACUCUGUGGCUCUCCAACCCCUGCUACUCAGAACCACACAUCCCUCAGGCCAGCUCCAAAGUUGGAAAUGAGCCAUGGGUUUCGGGGUGGGGUUUGAAAUGUCUUCUGGGGGGGGCUACAGGGGAAACGCAAUGGCUAGAGGCAAAAUUCAGGGGGCUCCCAACUCCGCUGACUGUUUCUCUUUUUGCAUUCUUACGGUCUGGAUCCACUGCAGUAAUACUAAUCUGCUAGUACUUCAGUCAAUAUUUAUUUAGACACUUGAUAUAUGCCUUAUAUUUUAGAAAACAAACCAACCGCUUACACUUCCUCCUCCCUUCCUGCUUGUUAUUUUUGUGAUGACCUUUGGGUUAGCCAUGCAACCACAUUCUGCAAUAAUUAAUCCCACUGAAAAGGGGCACUAGGAAAUUUGCACGCUCAGACCUGCAUUUGUUUGAAGCAUUUUUAGUUCACUCUUCGGAUGAAAAAAAGGUCACCUGGAGUGGGUUAUGGAGAAUAAGCUUCCCUGCUCUCAAGGUUGCAAUCUUAAAAAUAUGACACCAAAGGAAAAGGAUUUCUUUUUUUUGCGGGGAGGGGUAGGAGGAUAGACUCAAACUCAUCUUAGUUUACAAAGUUCUAAAAAUGGCCAGCUGGAAUGGAAGCGGCUCAAGGAGAGAGGCAGAGCUGGUCUCUCAGCAGAACUGAUGGAGUAACCCUGCUUCCUUUCCUUCUGCUUCUAUGAGCUCAACGGAAUAAUAGAGUUGUAGAAUUAUAGAGGUGGAAGGAACCUCAAAGGUCAUCCAGCCUGACCCCUUGCUGUGCAGGGAUAGCUGGUGUCAGGAGGCAGUUGAGAGAGGGAAGAUCGAAUGGAGCUGAAUUCUCAGGAAAGGGCAACCCCAAUGAUUAAGGAGAAUAGUAGUUUCCCUAGGAGGAAAGGAUGCAACACUUGGGCCUUCUUAGUUUAGAGCAGUGGUUUUCAACCAGUGUGGCGUGGCACCCUGGGGUGCCUUGGAUGAUGGCCAGGGUGCUGCGGACAACACUGGCCUCUCUCAUUCUUUCCUUCCCUCCCUCCUCUGAUGCCCUCUUGCGUCUCUGCCUCCCAAAGACUUGCACAGCUUAUUCUUGCAGCAGCCCUGGCUACAAGCUCUGCAGGCAAGUGGUGCCUCUGGGGCUGGCCGGGGGGGUGCUGGUUGCCAGGAGCUGAGGCAGCCUUGGGGUAAGUGAGCAAGUGGGUGAGGGAGCCCAGCCAGCCAGCCAGCCCUGGCUGUUGGGAAUGGACAGACAAGUCCCAGGCCCCUGUGGGGCAGUGGGAGGAGGCACCUCUCUUUGGGGUGGGUGGUGGGACAGCUCAGAGACUAGGGGUGGUAGCAACAGCUGCCCAGAGGACUCCCGAGGGAGAGGAGGCUGAGGGAACGCUCCACAAGGGAGGGUGUUUGAAAAAGGGUGAGAGGCUGCCAGUUCUGCAGGCAAGGGGGUGACAUAACUGGGUUCCUGAGCCCCACAGGGGUGUCACAAAAAGAAUGUUAACAGGUGAUAUGAUAGCCAUGUUCAAAUAUAUAAAAGGAUGUCAUAUAGAGGAGGGAGAAAGGUUGUUUUCUGCUGCUCCAGAGAAGCGGACACGGAGCAAUGGAUUCAAACUACAAGAAAGAAGAUUCCACCUAAACAUUAGGAAGAACUUCCUGACAGUAAGAGCUGUUCGGCAGUGGAAUUUGCUACCAAGGAGUGUGGUGGAGUCUCCUUCUUUGGAGGUCUUUAAGCAGAGGCUUGACAGGCAUAUGUCAAUAAUGCUUUGAUGGUGUUUCCUGCUCAGCAGGGGGUUGGACUGGAUGGCCCUUGUGGUCUCUUCCAACUCUAUGAUUCUAUUCUAUGUAGUUGGUCAGGGGAGCCAUGGACUCAAAAAGGUUGAAAACCUCUGGUUUAGAGAAAAGGCCCGAAAGAGACGACCUAGUAGAGGUUUAUAAAGUUAUGUGUGGCAUGGAGAAAGUUUUUCUCCUCUCACAACGCCUGAACUCGUGGACAUCCAGUUGGUAUUCUGCAACUGUUGUUGUUGUUAUUUGGCAGCCUGCUAUGUAGCCGGAAUUUUCAUGCUGGAUUUGGAAGGGGGAAGCCUUAUCCAAAGCCUAUCAGGGCAUUUUUUUAAAAAAAAGUAUUUUACCAAGUGGACUGGUGGGUGAGGGUCUGAUGACGCCACUCCUCCAUCAUUUGCUUCAAUUCUGUGCUGGCCAGCAGUUCCUCUGGCUAGCACAGAAAUCGAGCAGGUCGACAAAGGAGUAGCACAAUCUGCCCACCCCCCACCAGCCUAUUCACUCGCCUGCAUGGAGUCCCCAGUCGCCUAUGGUGACCAGGUAGUUGUGAAAUGCAAAGCUGCCUUCCAGGGUAUCAUCACAUUUGUCAAGUAUGAGCCGUGUGAAAAGCAGUGGCCCUGAAGGAGAGAUGUUCCAUGCAAUAUCACUGUGCCACGUGGUAUCUAUGAACAUGAUGGUGCUAGUCGUGUAACGCUAUUUUCCCUACAUGGAGGUGGGUUUGGGCAGCUUUUGAAACGACUUCUCCAAUAACAAUUUCCCACCGUGCAAAUAAAAAUGGCUUGCACCAUGUGGCAGAGGGAGAGCGAGAGUGUGCAUGUAGUUCACACAAGCAGGCCAGCAUGUGGCGAUGCUUCUCUGUGGUUGGGGUUCAAGUGACGACCGUGAUGCAGUCUCCGUGCCCAUAUAAGAUGCCAGCACAGGAUUGCAUCCCAGCAAUCUUUCCAUGUGUCUCAAUUUCUUGCGUUUGUCUCUCUCUCUUGGAUUUCUGUACAAACAACAAAAAUAAACUGACAUCCUACUGAAGCUGCCUGAGAUAAUUUAAUACUGUCUAUAAAAGGCUAGCUGAAUGUAUGAAACUGCCUCAUCUUUUGAAGGCAGCUCACUAGUUGCUAUCAUUGAAUGUCACCCAUGGGCAGCUGCUGAGGACUCAGGUAGCUGAGAGGCACUAUUUAAGUUUCCGAUAUACCCAGCGAAGGUGUGGGGGCUUUGCAAAACGCAUGGUCACCCUAGAGGGGAGGUACCAAAGGACUACCACAAAGGGAAAUAGCUGAAGUAUAGCUUGCCAACCUUGAUAGCUAGGUAAGUUCAUGGAGGAGAGGGCUAUUGAUGGCAAUGCUCUGCCUCCACGGUUAAAGGCAGCAAUGCUUCUGAAUACCAGUUGCUGGAAAGCAGAGGAGGAGAGAGUUUUCCAGCUGGCCUCUGGGAGGACAGGAUGCUGGGCUAGAUGGUCUUGGGAGAAGGUCAAGAGGAAGCCUGUUCCACCAGGGGGCUCUGUGCCACCAUAAAUGAGAACAUAACAGAAAACCACUAAUAGCAUCCCAAAUGAAAGAGGAGGGCAUUCGCUUUCCUAUGGCUGCAUAAAAGGAAGAAUGGCUAGGUGGGAAAUGCAGAUGCAGCCAAGUGUAGACACGCUCAGCCCAGAAGCAUGAGCCCAAAUGGUUGGUACAGGCUGGGCAUUGCACAAAAAACGCCACCCUGUGCAUGGGCUAUCUCCUCUGCAUCCCUCCAGCUCUGGUGGGUUGGCUGUGGCUCUGAACCAAUUGUCCAGUCCCCUUUGAGGAUGCAAAGCUCCAACUUCAUGCAAUAAGCCUGCUGCAGGUCUGGUCCAGGUUGGCAUGGCUUCUUUGAAAUUUGAACACAGGAGUGGCGCAGCCAAGGCCAGCUUGGUUCAGAGUCCACAGGGCAAAAUGCCCUUGGCCUGUUCUCUGAUGGAACUCAGCUGGGAAGAGUUUGUAGGGCUCUCUCUACCUGGUGAUCUCUCACAGCAUGGUGGUUCUUUGGGGGCCAAGGAAAGCAGAGGGUUCCUAUCCCUUUGAUAGCUGCACAGAGGAAGAGGAAAGCCUGAAAUGACAUGCCAGGUAACUCCAUAAAUUAUGGAAAGUGAACAAAUUUACAUGUUUGAUCCAAUUUUGCAUAAUUUAUAUUGUGUGCUGUGCAAAGAAGUAGAAGCUGUGCAGAGCACUAAAAUCAACACACGCAAAUACGCAAAGUCUACGGAGGCACCUCUCUGGCUUUCUGAGAUCUCUGCACAUUUCAAACCAUAAGGGUUAUUUACAAUACCAUCCUUUCCUGAGCAUCCUCUUCUAACUCGUAAUGUUGGUGCGUGUGAGGCUGAUGCUGCCAUGUGCAUCCACUGAAACAAAUUGCAUUCUGGGAAAUGUUCUCUUCCAACUCUUUCCCUUCUAAAAUACAUCUAGAAACUGCUGGGAGUUAAGUUCAAGUCCUGCCUUUGUUUGGCCUUGGACUCUCAGUCUCCAUUCCUAAACUGUAAAAUGGGAAUAGAAAUGGCUGCCCUUUAUCUGAAACUGGGCAGAGGAAGAAGGGGACCAGAAACCGCACAGACCAUUGACUCCAGAGCCCUGCUGGGUGCUAGGUGGCAGGACAAAAGGGAGAGAGGAACGUUCCCAUUGUGGGUGGGAGACCAGAGGUCAAAUUCCCACUCGGCUAUGAAGCUCACCUGGUGACCAUGAACCUCUCAGCCUAACCUACCUCACAGGGUUGUCGUGAGGAGAAGUGGGGAGAAUCACGGAUGUCACCUAGACCUCUUUGGAGCAAAGGUGGGAUGUAAAUAUAUUAACUAACUAAUUAAUUAGUCCCCUUUCUGUUAUUUCCAAUGAGAAGGUUGUAUACAGUCUUACCUUGGUUCUCGAACGCCUUGUGACUCAAACGUUUUGGCUCCUGAACUUCGCAAACACGAAAGUAAGUGUUCCGGUUUGCAAACUUUUUUUGGAAGCCGAACGUCCGAUGUGGCUUCCGCGGCUUCCAAAUGAGUGCAGGAAGCUUCUGCAGCCAAUCAGAAGCUGUGCCUUGAUUUUCGAACAUUUUCGGACGUCAAAUGGACUUCCGGAAUGGAUUCUGUUCAAGAACCAAAGUUCAACUGUAUAUGUCAACUCCACAGCUGGUAUAUAUUUCCUCCUGUUUCAGGGAUGUGUCAAAGGAAUGGGAAGAUUUUUGAACUUUUGGAUCCAACCCUUCCCCUGAUCUGCGUCUGCCAACCUCCCAUUCACCUCCAUCAGUGUUGGCCUGCAAUGGUUUCUGUGUCACCUGGGAGAGUCCGCAUGAAAUCUGAUAUCGCCCUCCAAGGUCAGAUCUCUCUCUUUCUCCAUACUCAGAGGAGAACUGAAACAUCCUUGGCCGCAAUAUCCUCUCCCAGGGACCACAGGAAGGCAGCCUAAAGCUCUCACACACAACUUGAGUAAAAUGUAGAUAUAGAAGGUGUAUAUCUUUCCAAACUGUAGAGGUCUCUCUCUCUCUCCCUCUGCUUGCAAUGAAGGGUAAAGAGAGAGACAAAAGAUCCAGGACAAUUUGAUUAAGCUGAAAGGCUCUGGAAUUUGCCACACCUCGCUGAAGAAUUUAGGACAUUCCCUUAGAAAGCAUCUUGAGAUUCCAUACAAAUUUAGCUCUCAGAGAUCACCCUCCCUGCAGAAUUCUCAAGCUUAAAUAUUUACCAACAGACUUCUCGGAGCUUGUUCCCAGAUGAAAAGAGAUGCUGCGUUUUCCCUGCCAGAAACAAAUGAUGUACACACAGAAGCGACUGAUCUCUGUAGUGAGAAAACAGGCUCUGAACUCAUCAAGAGGUUUCAUACGGAGUUGGAUGAUGGAUGAAUUCUUUGCAGCAUUGGCUACUCUGACUGGCAGUGGUGGUCCUUUAAAAGCACCACUAAGAACUGAACCGUGGAGUAUCUGCAUUUAAAGGAUAUUAGGCAAUGU